This 446-nucleotide ribosomal RNA is filed under the name uncultured bacterium. RNAcentral describes it as "partial 16S ribosomal RNA". It matches the Rfam family "Bacterial small subunit ribosomal RNA", at positions 338 to 795 of the family's 1533-position model. The record is from RNAcentral.
CCUACGGUCGACAGCAGUCGAGAAUCAUUCACAAUGGGGGAAACCCUGAUGGUGCGACGCCGCGUGGGGGAAUGAAGGUCUUCGGAUUGUAAACCCCUGUCAUGUGGGAGCCAAUUAAAAAGAUAGUACCACAAGAGGAAGAGACGGCUAACUCUGUGCCAGCAGCCGCGGUAAUACAGAGGUCUCAAGCGUUGUUCGGAAUCACUGGGCGUAAAGCAUGCGUAGGCUGUUUCUUAAGUCGUGUGUGAAAGGCGCGGGCUCAACCCUCGGACGGCACAUGAUACUGCGAGACUAGAGUAAUGGAGGGGGAACCGGAAUUCUCGGUGUCGCAGUGAAAUGCGUAGAUAUCGAGAGGAACACUCGUGGCGAAGGCGGGUUCCUGGACAUUAACUGACGCUGAGGCACGAAGGCCAGGGGAGCGAAAGGGAUUAGAUACCCCUGUAGUC